AACGAACGCUGGCGGCAUGCCUAACACAUGCAAGUCGAACGAGACCUUCGGGUCUAGUGGCGCAUGGGUGCGUAACGCGUGGGAACCUUCCCUUAGGUUCGGAAUAACUCCCCGAAAGGGGUGCUAAUACCGGAUAAUGUCUUCUGACCGAAGAUUUAUCGCCCUUGGAUGGGCCCGCGUUGGAUUAGCUAGUUGGUAGGGUAAAAGCCUACCAAGGCGACGAUUCAUAGCUGGUUUGAGAGGAUGAUCAGCCACACUGGGACGGAGAAACGGCCCAGACUCCUACGGGAGGCAGCAGUGGGGAAUAUUGCACAACGGGCGAAAGCAUGAUCCAGCACUGCCGGGUGAGUGAUGAAGGCCUUAGAGUUGUAAAGCUCUUUUACCCGGGAUGAUAAUGACAGUACCGGGAGAAUAAGCUCCGGCUAACUCCGUG
This 433-nucleotide ribosomal RNA is filed under the name uncultured bacterium. RNAcentral describes it as "partial 16S ribosomal RNA". It matches the Rfam family "Bacterial small subunit ribosomal RNA", at positions 29 to 507 of the family's 1533-position model. The record is from RNAcentral.